ACAAUAUAGGACUCUUUUGAGGCCCUGUAAUUGGAAUGAGUACACUUUAAAUCCUUUAAAGAGGAUCUUUUGGAGGGCAAGUCUGGUGCAGAGUGACUGGCCCGUUCGUGCUGCAGCUGAAA
Molecule: non-coding RNA, 122 nt
Organism: Pelobates cultripes (western spadefoot toad)
Lineage: Eukaryota; Metazoa; Chordata; Amphibia; Anura; Pelobatidae
Source: the annotation of a GenBank genome assembly